GCAGUCGUGGCCGAGCGGUUAAGGCGACGGACUAGAAAUCCAUUGGGGUCUCCCCGCACAGGUUCAAAUCCUGUCGACUGCG
This 82-nucleotide transfer RNA is filed under the name Dermacentor silvarum. RNAcentral describes it as "transfer RNA serine (anticodon AGA)". It matches the Rfam family "tRNA". Rfam says of the family: Transfer RNA (tRNA) molecules are approximately 80 nucleotides in length. Their secondary structure includes four short double-helical elements and three loops (D, anti-codon, and T loops). The record is from RNAcentral. Lineage: Eukaryota; Metazoa; Arthropoda; Arachnida; Ixodida; Ixodidae.